CUAUCGAUCGGAACAACAACUCGACAAUCUGCUUUGGAACAUGCCGUUCAUCAUGCCGUUGUAUUGGCGCGAGCAUUCGGUCGGAAGGUGUGGCCGAUAAAUUGCCGAACUCGCCGUUUGCCGAAAAUCCGGAAAGACGGAAUUCCCCGAAUUCGCUCCUUGCUUAAGAAACGGCUUCGCCGUCCCCCACUGCUCGGAAUCUUUCUUUUCAGAUUGCUCAGGAAGCCGACAACUACCAAUGGGGACAAAUUAUUAAGGAUUUUGGAAACUUCAUUAUGUCCUUUUGCUGUACAUUUUGAUAUGUGGAUAAAUGCUUGAAAACA
Molecule: non-coding RNA, 323 nt
Organism: Caenorhabditis elegans
Lineage: Eukaryota; Metazoa; Nematoda; Chromadorea; Rhabditida; Rhabditidae
Source: Ensembl